RNAcentral lists this long non-coding RNA (469 nucleotides) under Salmo salar (Atlantic salmon). RNAcentral's name for it is "lncRNA (ENSSSAG00000105697.1)". Lineage: Eukaryota; Metazoa; Chordata; Actinopteri; Salmoniformes; Salmonidae. The record is from RNAcentral.
AGGGGUUUUUGAAAGUGGUCGUUCUGAGAACAAUGACACUGGUGUGCGCGUGCAUGUGAAGAGUUCAUUUUCUAUUUUCAGUGUUUGAACGAAAACAAGGUCUCCCGGUUGGAAUAUUAUCGCUAUUUCACGAGAAAAAUCACAUAAAAAUUGAUUUUAAACAGCGUUUGACAUGCUUCGAAGUACGGUAAUGGAAUAUUUUGAAAUGUUUUGUCACGAUACACGCCGGCGCGUCACCCUUCGGAUAGUGUCUUGAACGCAAGAAGAAAACGCAGCUAUUUGGAUAUAACUAUGGAUUAUUUGGAACCAAAACAACAUUGGGUGUUGAAGUAGAAGUCCUGGGAGUGCAUUCUGAUGAAGAACAGCAAAGGUUUAGCAGGUGUGGAAGGACCACCAGAGGGCAGGCUGGGCUCACGGAUAGUAGCCCAACAAGAGAGAGGAUGAAACCAGCAAGAAAGGUGGAAGAUAG